GACGUAGGGCGCGAGCGUUGUCCGGAUUUAUUGGGCGUAAAGAGCUCGUAGGCGGCUUGUCGCGUCGUCCGUGAAAACUUGGGGCUCAACCCCAAGCUUGCGGUCGAUACGGGCAGGCUAGAGUUCGGUAGGGGAGACUGGAAUUCCUGGUGUAGCGGUGAAAUGCGCAGAUAUCAGGAGGAACACCGGUGGCGAAGGCAGGUCACUGGGCCGCAACUGACGCUGAGGAGCGAAAGCAUGGGGAGCGAACAGG
This 253-nucleotide ribosomal RNA is filed under the name uncultured bacterium. RNAcentral's name for it is "partial 16S ribosomal RNA". It matches the Rfam family "Bacterial small subunit ribosomal RNA", at positions 524 to 776 of the family's 1533-position model. The record is from RNAcentral.